GUGAGGAAUAUUGGUCAAUGGGCGGGAGCCUGAACCAGCCAAGUCGCGUGAAGGAAGAAGGAUCUAUGGUUCGUAAACUUCUUUUGCAGGGGAAUAAAGUGCAGGACGUGUCCUGUUUUGUAUGUACCCUGAGAAUAAGGAUCGGCUAACUCCGUGCCAGCAGCCGCGGUAAUACGGAGGAUCCGAGCGUUAUCCGGAUUUUUUGGGUUUAAAGGGUGCGUAGGUGGUUUGAUAAGUCAGCGGUGAAAGUUUGCAGCUUAACUGUAAAAAUGCCGUUGAAACUGUCGGACUUGAGUGUAAAUGAGGUAGGCGGAAUGCGUGGUGUAGCGGUGAAAUGCAUAGAUAUCACGCAGAACUCCGAUUGCGAAGGCAGCUUACUAAGCUACAACUGACACUGAAGCACGAAAGCGUGGGGAUCAAACAGGAUUAGAAACCCGAGUAGUCC
Molecule: ribosomal RNA, 445 nt
Filed under: uncultured bacterium
Lineage: Bacteria
Description: partial 16S ribosomal RNA
Rfam family: Bacterial small subunit ribosomal RNA
Source: RNAcentral